GUCCGAGUGGCGCAGUGGUAGCGCGCGGGGCCCAUAUAUAGAGUAGUAGUCAUAGAACCCCGAGGUCACUUGAUCGAAACAAGUUGCUGCUA
Molecule: non-coding RNA, 92 nt
Organism: Gymnopus androsaceus JB14
Lineage: Eukaryota; Fungi; Basidiomycota; Agaricomycetes; Agaricales; Omphalotaceae
Source: the annotation of a GenBank genome assembly